GUUAAAAUUAAUUAAGGUUAAAUGUGUUUAAUUAUUAUUUAGAUUUAAUAAUAAUAGUGCAAAUCUAUAUUUUAAUU
RNAcentral lists this transfer RNA (77 nucleotides) under Flavobacterium sp. PL002. Its description in RNAcentral is "Flavobacterium sp. PL0002 tRNA-Asn". Lineage: Bacteria; Pseudomonadati; Bacteroidota; Flavobacteriia; Flavobacteriales; Flavobacteriaceae. The record is from RNAcentral.